UACGGGGGGGGCAAGCGUUGUUCGGAAUUACUGGGCGUAAAGGGCGCGUAGGCGGUGCUCUAAGUUAGAUGUGAAAACUCUGGGCUCAACCCAGAGCCUGCAUCUAAAACUGGAGUGCUAGAGUUCUGGAGGGGGUAGCGGAAUUCCUGGUGUAGCGGUGAAAUGCGUAGAUAUCAGGAGGAACACCGGUGGCGAAGGCGGCUACCUGGACAGGUACUGACACUCAACUACGAAAGCGUGGGGAGCAAACAGG
Molecule: ribosomal RNA, 253 nt
Filed under: uncultured bacterium
Lineage: Bacteria
Description: partial 16S ribosomal RNA
Rfam family: Bacterial small subunit ribosomal RNA
Source: RNAcentral